CCUUUUGUGUUCCAGUUGCUGGGAAUUCAAUAUAUAAAGUUACACACAGGAGAAAGUUAGAGAGAAUUUUCUAUAACCACCCCACUAGUAACAAUUCAAAGCCAAAAAAAUAUAAAAAGAGGAAAAGAGCAUAACCCUUUGUUCUACUGUCCUGUACAAUACAAUUUAUCCAAAUUCUCUUCUUUCCUUCCUUUAAAAAUCUAGUCGAAAUUGAACAUUAAAGUGAAAGUAAUAAAGCAAAAGGAGAAGAAAGAACCGCACCAUUGUUUGUGGCAAUAAAAAUGAAUCUUUUAGCUUUUAUCUUUCAAUGGGUUGUAACCUUGG
This 324-nucleotide unclassified non-coding RNA is filed under the name Hevea brasiliensis (rubber tree). The record is from RNAcentral. Lineage: Eukaryota; Viridiplantae; Streptophyta; Magnoliopsida; Malpighiales; Euphorbiaceae.